UCCGAACACAGAAGUUAAGCCUGUCAACGUUUUACAUUGUACUAAGAUGUGCGAACUCUCGGGAACUGUAGAAAGUCGCUAUGC
Molecule: ribosomal RNA, 84 nt
Filed under: Candidatus Methanoperedens sp.
Lineage: Archaea; Methanobacteriati; Methanobacteriota; Methanomicrobia; Methanosarcinales; Candidatus Methanoperedentaceae
Source: RNAcentral